GCGGGCGUGGCGAAAUUGGUAUACGCACUUGACUUAGGAUCAAGCGCCGCAAGGCAUGGGGGUUCAAGUCCCUCCGCCCGCACCA
This 85-nucleotide transfer RNA is filed under the name Aquamicrobium zhengzhouense. Its description in RNAcentral is "Aquamicrobium sp. cd-1 tRNA-Leu". It matches the Rfam family "tRNA". From Rfam's summary of the family: Transfer RNA (tRNA) molecules are approximately 80 nucleotides in length. Their secondary structure includes four short double-helical elements and three loops (D, anti-codon, and T loops). Further hydrogen bonds mediate the characteristic L-shaped molecular structure. tRNAs have two regions of fundamental functional importance: the anti-codon, which is responsible for specific mRNA codon recognition, and the 3' end, to which the tRNAs corresponding amino acid is attached (by aminoacyl-tRNA synthetases). tRNAs cope with the degeneracy of the genetic code in two manners: having more than one tRNA (with a specific anti-codon) for a particular amino acid; and 'wobble' base-pairing, i.e. permitting non-standard base-pairing at the 3rd anti-codon position. The record is from RNAcentral. Lineage: Bacteria; Pseudomonadati; Pseudomonadota; Alphaproteobacteria; Hyphomicrobiales; Phyllobacteriaceae.